RNAcentral lists this long non-coding RNA (591 nucleotides) under Homo sapiens (human). RNAcentral's name for it is "novel transcript". The record is from RNAcentral. Lineage: Eukaryota; Metazoa; Chordata; Mammalia; Primates; Hominidae.
GCUGCAUUUCUUUCCUCCAGAUACAGGGCGGUUCAUCUCUCACAUGAGGGUCUUACGAUCUACUUGCAGGAAAGGCCCAUUAAUCCCAAGACUACACAUGUGGCAUUUUUAAAGUAUGGAAUCCAGAACAGAACUCGAUACCACAGGUGAGAUCUGAUCCUAGCCUUCUCUUUUCUUGAAAGGCAUGUAAAUUCCAUUUGGGAAGAUAUUUUGAACUUGGAGAACUGAUGACAGAUUGACUUUAUUAAGCACCUUCUGAAAAGAGAACAUGUUCCACCUUGGAGGAUCAACAGACUUAUGGACAGCCUUGUAGAAGACAGAGACUUUACUCUAAAGAACUUUAAUGAAAGACGAUGCGAGGACACAGUGAGAAGAUAGCGUCCACAAACCAGAAAAAGAGAGCUCACCAGAAACCAACCCUGACAACAUCUUGAUCUUGGAGUUCCAGCCUCCAGAACUGUGAGAAAAAAAAUUUUUGUUGUUUAAGUCACCAGUCUGUGGUAUUCUGUUAUGGUUGCCCAAGCAGACUAAUACAGUAUACAAAAACUUGUAUUGUCACAAUUUACAUGUUUAUGCAUUGUAUGCCCACAA